GACGAACACUGGCGGCGUGCUUAACACAUGCAAGUCGAGCGGUAAGGCCCUUUCGGGGGUACACGAGCGGCGAACGGGUGAGUAACACGUGGGUGACCUGCCCUCAGCUCUGGGAUAAGCCCGGGAAACUGGGUCUAAUACCGGGAUAUGACUCCAUGACGCAUGUUGUGGGGUGGAAAGCCUUGUGCGGCUGAGGAUGGGCCCGCGGCCUAUCAGCUUGUUGGUGGGGUGAUGGCCUACCAAGGCGACGACGGGUAGCCGGCCUGAGAGGGCGACCGGCCACACUGGGACUGA
RNAcentral lists this ribosomal RNA (294 nucleotides) under uncultured bacterium. RNAcentral describes it as "partial 16S ribosomal RNA". It matches the Rfam family "Bacterial small subunit ribosomal RNA", at positions 28 to 322 of the family's 1533-position model. The record is from RNAcentral.